GCAAUGCCUGCAAACAGCGGCCCGGCUCUCCGCUGGAGUGGGAACGCCUGCUAGGGGCCGGCUCUCAGCUGGAGUGGGAAUGCCUGCAAACAACGGCCCAGCCGGGGAUCUCGGGAACCUGAGCAGCACAGGGUUCAGAGGUCAGAAGAGUGGGCUUCCUCCAGGUGGCAAGGAAGGGGUGGUUGGUGAGUCCAGGUCAAAAAAGCAAGCUCCUCGCCCCCGCGCGUCUUAGAGGGGAGAAGCAAAUUUCCCACGCUCCCCUCAAGGAAGCACUGGAUCCAGACGUGGAAUUCCGCCCUGCCCAGGGCCUCCUCCACACCAGGUGAUUCCAGGAUGCCUGAAAGAGCACGACAGCGGUUCCUGAGGAAGGUGUUAACAUCACUGCUGUUUCCUUUUGCCACAGGCCUCGGCCAGCCAGCAAAGUCCUUCCAAAGGCAGCCCGGGGUCACUGUGUGAAGCCACCAUUUUUAGCAUCCUGGCUGCUGCCGGGCCACAGAGGCACCAGCCAGCUUUAGACUCCUGGAAAAGCAAGGAAUUCAAUCCCUCUUCCACUCAAAUGUGGGCUCCCAAUGUUCUCUGCAAAGACUGAAGUGCUGCCAUAAUUUAUAAGCUGGAAAGAAGAGGUGCAUUGUAUCGAUUUUAGGAGUGUGCUGAGUCUUUUUAAGCUCAUGCAUAAUGAAUGUUCUUUGACUUUUUUUCCAAACAAACUUUCAAGUGGAGCUGUUGUGACGAUGGCUGAAUGUAGUAUGAAAUGCACGCCAUGAAAUGGAACAGAGACAAUGGCUGAUGUGAAGAGGGAGUGAGAUUCCUGCCCUAUUACGAACUGGAGGAGCUUCCCACCACAGCCCAGGGGAAAGCCUUUGGCCGGCUAAAGACCACAGCACGUGUCGGACCUCCUCCUAUGGGCUCAGGGCCCCUCUCCGUGCUGCCUCUCCACCGGCAGCUUUGUCCAGGCAAGGAAGCCUGAUACAGGCACACCCCCGAACUGGGGCUGAGCCCGGGAGGAUUCUUGGCUUCCUGCAGGAAAGAAUUCAAGAGCAAGUCAACGGAGUAAAGUGAAAGCAAAGCAAGUUUAUUAGAACAAAAGAGAACAAGAAAACGGCUGCUGCACAGACACGUCAGGGUUACCCACAGGCAGGGUGGCAUGCGUGGAUUCCCGGCUGGCUACGGUUAUACCUAGUCCUAAUUCUGUGCUAAAUAAGGGGUGGGUUAUUCAUGAACUUUCUAGAAAAGGGGUGGGGAGUUCCCAGAACCACGUGAGGUAGGUUCCAGGGCAUUGGCAAACUGUCAUGGCGCUGGGGGGAGUGUCUUAGGCAAAUGUAUUAUAAUUCCUGGUCCCAGCUGGUGUUGGCUGGUUUCUUUGCUACAUCCCGUUUUGAUCAGCAGGGUCCUGAAAAUGAGUCCUGCUGAUCUCCAGCCUUAAGCCUGCAUCUAAACACCAGGGGUGAUGUGCAGACCUUCAGUGUACACACAAAACUCCACUCACGGGAGAUGUUGGGCUGUAUGGCUAUGCUCAACUUAAAAUGUUUAAAAACAGGCCGGGCGCGGUGGCUCACGCCUGUAAUCCCA
RNAcentral lists this long non-coding RNA (1569 nucleotides) under Homo sapiens (human). Its description in RNAcentral is "HSALNT0170312". Lineage: Eukaryota; Metazoa; Chordata; Mammalia; Primates; Hominidae. The record is from RNAcentral.